Molecule: ribosomal RNA, 405 nt
Filed under: uncultured prokaryote
Description: bacterial SSU rRNA
Rfam family: Bacterial small subunit ribosomal RNA
Source: RNAcentral
UGGGGAAUAUUGGGCAAUGGGGGAAACCCUGACCCAGCAACGCCGCGUGAAGGAAGAAGGCUUUCGGGUUGUAAACUUCUUUUAUGGGGGAAGAAAAAAAUGACGGUACCUCAUGAAUAAGCCACGGCUAACUACGUGCCAGCAGCCGCGGUAAUACGUAGGUGGCAAGCGUUGUCCGGAUUUACUGGGUGUAAAGGGCGCGUAGGCGGGAUAGCAAGUCAGGUGUGAAAUCCGGGGGCUUAACCCUCGAACUGCACUUGAAACUGUUAUUCUUGAGUGAUGGAGAGGCAAGCGGAAUUCCUAGUGUAGCGGUGAAAUGCGUAGAUAUUAGGAGGAACACCAGUGGCGAAGGCGGCUUGCUGGACAUUAACUGACGCUGAGGCGCGAAAGCGUGGGGAGCAAACA